GAGUUUGAUCUUGGCUCAGAUUGAACGCUGGCGGCAUGCCUUACACAUGCAAGUCGAACGGCAGCAUGAUCUAGCUUGCUAGAUUGAUGGCGAGUGGCGAACGGGUGAGUAAUACAUCGGAACGUGCCCUGUAGUGGGGGAUAACUAGUCGAAAGAUUAGCUAAUACCGCAUACGACCUGAGGGUGAAAGUGGGGGACCGCAAGGCCUCAUGCUAUAGGAGCGGCCGAUGUCUGAUUAGCUAGUUGGUGGGGUAAAGGGCUCACCAAGGCGACGAUCAGUAGCUGGUCUGAGAGGACGAUCAGCCACACUGGGACUGAGACACGGCCCAGACUCCUACGGGAGGCAGCAGUGGGGAAUUUUGGACAAUGGGCGAAAGCCUGAUCCAGCAAUGCCGCGUGUGUGAAGAAGGCCUGG
This 415-nucleotide ribosomal RNA is filed under the name uncultured microorganism. RNAcentral describes it as "bacterial SSU rRNA". It matches the Rfam family "Bacterial small subunit ribosomal RNA", at positions 9 to 419 of the family's 1533-position model. The record is from RNAcentral.